This 631-nucleotide long non-coding RNA is filed under the name Nicotiana benthamiana. RNAcentral's name for it is "long non-coding RNA (NBEN_LNC008820)". Lineage: Eukaryota; Viridiplantae; Streptophyta; Magnoliopsida; Solanales; Solanaceae. The record is from RNAcentral.
UUUGCUGGGACAUAAAAGCAUGUCUAACUUACCUUAGGGGGAAAGCAUUGGAGAGCUAAAAACACCAGAAAUUUGAGGCGGCUAGGGAUCACUGUUCCAUUAAAAAAUCUCUGAAGAUCUGCAAAUCCCACUUUUCUAAUAGAGUUCUCGAAUACUAUAGGAAAAAUUAGUUAAGUUUUGUUGUUAUCCAAGGGUUUUGGUUCAGGUUUAAUUGCAUUCCGAUUUUGAGUGUUAGGGGUCACAAUUGUGGAUUUUGAUUUGGUUCAAGAUGGUUUUAUUUCUUUGAGCAUCGCUGGGUCAAUUUCGUUGCUGAAACACUAUACUAUUGCUGUUGAAUCUGUUGUUUCUUACCUCUUUUUUGAUUUCCUUCUUUUUCAGGUACUUUCCUUAGCUAAUAGCGAAGGAUCAACUGCUGAACCUGUAACAAUUUGAAAUAUGUUAAAUGAAGGCUGAACUUAAAUUGAUAUCUAUGCUGUUUUACUUUCAUGUUUAUCCUUUGUACCUAGAUCUAAAGUUAUAAUUAUUGAUUAGGUUUCUUUUUCUAAACUGUUUGUGAGAGAUCCCUAUAGGGCAUUUCUUACUUGUGUUGAUAAAUUGGACUGUGCACUUUGAUUAUAUAGCUUCAUUCUUG